UACGUAGGGCGCAAGCGUUGUCCGGAUUUAUUGGGCGUAAAGAGCUCGUAGGCGGUCUGUCGCGUCGGCUGUGAAAACCCGAGGCUCAACCUCGGGCCUGCAGUCGAUACGGGCAGACUAGAGUGUGGCAGGGGAGACUGGAAUUCCUGGUGUAGCGGUGGAAUGCGCAGAUAUCAGGAGGAACACCGGUGGCGAAGGCGGGUCUCUGGGCCGUUACUGACGCUGAGGAGCGAAAGCGUGGGGAGCGAACAGG
This 253-nucleotide ribosomal RNA is filed under the name uncultured bacterium. RNAcentral describes it as "partial 16S ribosomal RNA". It matches the Rfam family "Bacterial small subunit ribosomal RNA", at positions 524 to 776 of the family's 1533-position model. The record is from RNAcentral.